This 75-nucleotide transfer RNA is filed under the name Nitrososphaerota archaeon. RNAcentral describes it as "tRNA-Asp". It matches the Rfam family "tRNA". From Rfam's summary of the family: Transfer RNA (tRNA) molecules are approximately 80 nucleotides in length. Their secondary structure includes four short double-helical elements and three loops (D, anti-codon, and T loops). The record is from RNAcentral. Lineage: Archaea; Thermoproteati; Nitrososphaerota.
GCCCUGGUAGUAUAGCUCGGUCUAGUAUGCCCGCCUGUCACGCGGGCGACGCGAGUUCAAAUCUCGCCCAGGGCG